This 250-nucleotide ribosomal RNA is filed under the name uncultured bacterium. RNAcentral's name for it is "partial 16S ribosomal RNA". It matches the Rfam family "Bacterial small subunit ribosomal RNA", at positions 524 to 773 of the family's 1533-position model. The record is from RNAcentral.
UACAGAGGGUGCGAGCGUUAAUCGGAAUUACUGGGCGUAAAGCGUGCGUAGACGGUAAUGUAAGUCGGGUGUGAAAGCCCCGGGCUCAACCUGGGAAUUGCAUUCGAGACUGCAUUGCUGGGGUGCGGAAGAGGGAAGCGGAAUUUCCGGUGUAGCGGUGAAAUGCGUAGAUAUCGGAAGGAACACCAGUGGCGAAAGCGGCUUCCUGGUCCGACACCGACGUUCAGGCACGAAAGCGUGGGGAGCAAAC